GGAAGGUAGUGCCCAAUGGUGGGCAACCGGUCCCGAAAACCGGGCUGUCUUUGGACAGGGGUUCGAUUCCUCUACCUUCCGCCA
RNAcentral lists this transfer RNA (84 nucleotides) under Planctomycetota bacterium. RNAcentral describes it as "tRNA-Ser". It matches the Rfam family "tRNA". Rfam says of the family: Transfer RNA (tRNA) molecules are approximately 80 nucleotides in length. Their secondary structure includes four short double-helical elements and three loops (D, anti-codon, and T loops). Further hydrogen bonds mediate the characteristic L-shaped molecular structure. tRNAs have two regions of fundamental functional importance: the anti-codon, which is responsible for specific mRNA codon recognition, and the 3' end, to which the tRNAs corresponding amino acid is attached (by aminoacyl-tRNA synthetases). tRNAs cope with the degeneracy of the genetic code in two manners: having more than one tRNA (with a specific anti-codon) for a particular amino acid; and 'wobble' base-pairing, i.e. permitting non-standard base-pairing at the 3rd anti-codon position. The record is from RNAcentral. Lineage: Bacteria; Pseudomonadati; Planctomycetota.